UUUGGAUUGAAAGAUUGUUUUUAAUUUAAACGUUAAUUAGAAUGUUAAUUCAGUUCUCAGUUCUGAUCACGCUUCUUAAUCAAUAUGCCAAGUUUUUACAUUUAGAACUUCUGUCUUGGAGUUCCCGUCAUAGUGCAGUGGAAACAAAUCUGACUAGGAACCAUGGGGUUGCAGGUUCGAUCCCUGGCCUCAUUCAGUGGGUUAAGGGUCUGGCACUGCCAUGAGCUGUGGUGUAGGUUGCAGACACGGCUCAGAUCUGGCAUUGCUGUGGCUGUGAUGUAGGCCGGCGGCUGUAGCUCUAAUUAGACCCCUAGCCUGGGAACCUCCAUAUGCCACAGGUGUGGCCCUAAAAAGACAAAAGACAAAGAAAAAGAAAAAAAAAAGAAAUUCUGCCUUGCAGUUUUGGAGAGUCUUGGUGACGGGGGGUGAGGGGUGGGUAGUAACACGGCCUCUGGAGUUCUUAUGCUUUGGUUUUGGUUCUGGUCUUAAUCACUCACUUUCAACUAGCACUUCAGCUGGUCUAGGUUGCUUGCUUAGAGGGGUGGCCCAGAGCUUCAUUCUUAGAAGUCUUUGUCCUUAGUUGCUUUAUCUUUUCAGGUCGUGGUGGCUGUAAUUGGCCGUGUUCGUUAAUACUGGGCACUGAAAUCGCCAAGGGACAUUCCAUGGCUCUCCUGGGUUCCGGAUAUACUGCCCCCACCUUACUGGAUAGUAGCAAUAAGGACUUGGGGGUGCUGCCACCCAAUAAGGUGGGGAGCAAUAUACCUGGAACCUCAUUCUCAGUCCACUGGCACAAAAGGCAAAACUGCUACGUGAGAAUCACAGCCUCAAAUACAGUGACAAUUGUACUGUGUCCCCUGGAGCAAGUGUUUUCCCCACACCCAGAAAAUAGAACUUCUGCCACAGCCUAUAUUUGUAGGAAUGGUCUGUACAACUUUCGUAAUCAGGCCACCAGGAUUGAUCAUGAAAGGACCAGUCCUACUUCUACCUCUUUGUUCAUGGGCCUGCACACCUCAGCCCUUGGUUCAGCACACAGAGCGCCCCACGUGUAAAGGGAAAUACCACAACCCCACAAGGCACUGUCCCCAAACUGGGGCCUUCACUGAACAUUUACCUAGUUGUUCCGCUGGUAGGCCAGGCUGGCUACUUCUAGGUAAUGGGUUAUAUUUACCAGUGAAUCAUGCGGUAACAAGCUCAUGGCCCAAGUGCCUUUGCUAUGAAAUGGGCCCCUUGACCUGGGUCAUACGUAGGAAACACCACAACAAUGAACCAGGCAUGUUGUUAGACAUCAGAUAACAGUGCUGAUGAAGGUUAUGCAACCAGAGAAUGCAAAUCUAUCGAAUUAUCUAUUCCAGGAAUAACAUUUCUGCCUCCUCCAAGGUGUAAGAUAUCUGAUAUGGUCAACCGGCCAUCAGGUCGCUGGCGGGUCUCUCAAGAGAAAGCCACAUCAAGGCUCUGCGUCCGCCAGGCGUUGAGUCAUCCUUGUUGAGAGGGAGCCAGCAUCAGUGACUCUGCACAGCUCUCCUCCAUGCCACCCUGGCCGUUACCUUUAAGCUCACCUGACAAGUUCUAGGAUGCCAAGGAAAGCGGAGGUGAGGGUGGUGGAGGUGUUUAAGUCCCUCCCGAGGUGGUGCUAGAAGAAACCUGGCAGAUAUUAACGGUAAAAAGAUCUGCAUGCUUAGUUUCACCCACAUGAGUACAUUCAGAACUUCUCAGUCUUAUUCCUUCCUGGCCAUUGACCAACUGGCCAAGUCAUUCAUCAGGUCCAUGAAUCAGUGUGCGUAGGUAUCUUGGGCCAUAUUUCCCUUUAUAGUAACUCUACGGCCAAGGGUACCACUUUUAGCUCUGCCCAUUGAGGCCAUUACCCUGUAUUUUUUUUUGUUUGUUUUUUUGUCUUUUAGGGCCACACCCAUGGCAUAUGGAGGAUCCAAACAAUGUUCCCACGUGUGGUAAAUGCCACCUUCAAAAUACAGCCACGUGGUGUGCCCCUUUCUUUGCAGUGAGAAGCAACAACUUGUCCUUUACCAGACUUCCCGUCCCGGUGCAGCGGCAAUGAACCCGACAAGCACCCGUGAGGACACAGGUUCAAUGCCUGGCUUCGCUCAGUGGGUUAAGGAUCUGGCAUUGCCGUGUAGGUCGCAGACACGGCUCAGAUCUCACGUUGCUGUGGCUGUGGUGCAGGCCAGCAGCUGUAGCUCCGAUUGACCCCUAGCCUGGGAACCUCCAUGUGCCACGGGUGCUGCCCUGAAAGGACAAAAAGAGAAAUACAUACAUACAUACAUAACUUGUCCUUUACCUUAGAAGGACUGUCUCCUUUAGGGGAGAAGUUGGCCAACAACUGUCGGGCCCCCCUCCUAUUUUUGUAAAUGAUGCUUUAGGGGAACACACAGCAUGUCCAUUCAUUUAUGUGCGGCCAAUGGCUGGUUUCCCACCACGAUGGCAAAAUUGAGUAGCUGUGAAGGAAUCUUAUGCCUCGCAAAGCCUAAAAUGUUUACUGACCAUCCCUUUAAAGAUAAAAUUCGCCAGCGCCUGCUCUAACACCGCUAAUCCAUGGCACGUAGUUCCUUAAAUUAUCACCUGUAAUUGGCUAGACUCAGCGGCCUAUGGAAGGCAAGGCUUUGGAAGAUCAAGUAGCGAUAAUUAUAGAACAUUAUGGAAUAUUCUUUCCAAAAUGAAGGGCAGCUAUUGCAUCAGUCCUCUCCAGUCACAAAGAACCAAGCACAUCUUUGGAUGUGGAAGAUUUCAGGGGGCUUGCUGCUGGAGCGUAUUUACUGAGUAACCCCCCAGGCUGCCACAGGGGGGCGAUGUGGCAUCUUGGAAAGUUCAGCUUCAGACGAGACGGAUGACUGGAGCCUAUUUUCUCACAUGCAAAAUGACCAUAAAUAACUUCUUCAUUAAAAAAAAAAAAAGCAAUCCCCUUGUGUCACAGCAGGUUAAGGAUCCAGCGUUGUCACUGCUGCAGCUCGGGUCGCUGCUAUGGCAUGGGGUCAGUCCCUGGCCCAGGGAACCUCCAUCACAUGCUGUAAGCAAGGACAAAAACAAAAACAAAAAACUUCUUCAUAGGGUUCUGGUAACUAUAAAGUAAGCUAACACGUGAGAAAGCCC
This 3102-nucleotide long non-coding RNA is filed under the name Sus scrofa (pig). RNAcentral describes it as "lncRNA (ENSSSCG00050024937.1)". The record is from RNAcentral. Lineage: Eukaryota; Metazoa; Chordata; Mammalia; Artiodactyla; Suidae.